This 535-nucleotide ribosomal RNA is filed under the name Trichoderma sp. 2 CET-2016. RNAcentral's name for it is "eukaryotic LSU rRNA". The stretch from base 155 to 308 matches the Rfam family "5.8S ribosomal RNA". The record is from RNAcentral. Lineage: Eukaryota; Fungi; Ascomycota; Sordariomycetes; Hypocreales; Hypocreaceae.
CCAUACCAAACUGUUGCCUCGGCGGGGUCACGCCCCGGGUGCGUCGCAGCCCCGGAACCAGGCGCCCGCCGGAGGGACCAACCAAACUCUUUUCUGUAGUCCCCUCGCGGACGUUAUUUCUUACAGCUCUGAGCAAAAAUUCAAAAUGAAUCAAAACUUUCAACAACGGAUCUCUUGGUUCUGGCAUCGAUGAAGAACGCAGCGAAAUGCGAUAAGUAAUGUGAAUUGCAGAAUUCAGUGAAUCAUCGAAUCUUUGAACGCACAUUGCGCCCGCCAGUAUUCUGGCGGGCAUGCCUGUCCGAGCGUCAUUUCAACCCUCGAACCCCUCCGGGGGGUCGGCGUUGGGGAUCGGGAACCCCUAAGACGGGAUCCCGGCCCCGAAAUACAGUGGCGGUCUCGCCGCAGCCUCUCCUGCGCAGUAGUUUGCACAACUCGCACCGGGAGCGCGGCGCGUCCACGUCCGUAAAACACCCAACUUCUGAAAUGUUGACCUCGGAUCAGGUAGGAAUACCCGCUGAACUUAAGCAUAUCAAUA